GUGCUCGCUCUGGCAGCACAUAUACUAAAAUUGGAAUGAUAGAGAUUAGCAUGGCCCCUGUGCAAGGAUGACACACAAAUUCAUGAAGCAUUCCAUAUUUUU
This is a small nuclear RNA of Oryctolagus cuniculus (rabbit), 102 nucleotides long. The record is from Ensembl. Lineage: Eukaryota; Metazoa; Chordata; Mammalia; Lagomorpha; Leporidae.